UCGUAACAAGGUUUCCGUAGGUGAACCUGCGGAAGGAUCAUUGUCGUGACCCUUAAACAAAAUAGACCGUGAACGCGUCUCCCGUGCCGUCGGGCCUUGGCCCGGCAAGAGGCCCCCGAGCUCCGUCCUGGGGCGGAGGGGCCGCAACAGAACCCACGGCGCCUUAGGCGUCAAGGAACACUUGUAUCUGCCUCGCACCGCAGAGCGGUUGGCCUGCCUUCCGCUCCACGUGCGGCGAUGACAUCUUAAUCCACACGACUCUCGGCAACGGAUAUCUCGGCUCUCGCAUCGAUGAAGAACGUAGCAAAAUGCGAUACCUGGUGUGAAUUGCAGAAUCCCGCGAACCAUCGAGUUUUUGAACGCAAGUUGCGCCCGAGGCCUUCUGGUCGAGGGCACGUCUGCCUGGGCGUCACGCCAAAAGACACUCUCUACCCACCCUAGGGAGGGAUGUGGUGUUUGGCCCCUCGUGCCGCAGGUUGCGGUGGGCUGAAGUUGGGGCUGCCGGCGAUUCGUGUCGGGCACAGCACGUGGUGGGCGACAAUCAGUUGUUCUCGGCGCAGCGCCCCGGCACGCGGCCAGCGCAUCCGGCCCUAAGGACCCAUCUAGUACCGCAGCGCUUCGUCGCUCGGACCGCGACCCCAGUCAGACGAAU
This 652-nucleotide ribosomal RNA is filed under the name Pogonatherum crinitum. RNAcentral's name for it is "eukaryotic LSU rRNA". The stretch from base 257 to 412 matches the Rfam family "5.8S ribosomal RNA". Lineage: Eukaryota; Viridiplantae; Streptophyta; Magnoliopsida; Poales; Poaceae. The record is from RNAcentral.